This 345-nucleotide unclassified non-coding RNA is filed under the name soil metagenome. RNAcentral describes it as "partial contains 5.8S ribosomal RNA, internal transcribed spacer 2, and large subunit ribosomal RNA". The stretch from base 1 to 120 matches the Rfam family "5.8S ribosomal RNA", at positions 35 to 154 of the family's 154-position model. The record is from RNAcentral.
GAUGAAGAACGUAGCGAAAUGCGAUACGUAAUGUGAAUUGCAGAAUUCAGUGAAUCAUCGAGUCUUUGAACGCACAUUGCGCCCCCUGGUAUUCCGGGGGGCAUGCCUGUCCGAGCGUCAUUGCUGCCCUCAAGCCCGGCUUGUGUGUUGGGUCUCGUCCCCCUUCCCGGGGGGACGGGCCCGAAAGGCAGCGGCGGCACCGCGUCCGGUCCUCGAGCGUAUGGGGCUUUGUCACCCGCUCUGUAGGCCCGGCCGGCGCUUGCCGAUCAACCAAAACUUUUUUCCAGGUUGACCUCGGAUCAGGUAGGGAUACCCGCUGAACUUAAGCAUACAAUAAGCGGAGGA